GCGGGUAUAGUACAGCGGUAGUAUAUCUCCUUGCCAAGGAGAAGACACGGGUCCGACUCCCGUUACCCGCU
RNAcentral lists this transfer RNA (71 nucleotides) under Candidatus Uhrbacteria bacterium RIFCSPLOWO2_02_FULL_48_12. RNAcentral's name for it is "tRNA-Gly". It matches the Rfam family "tRNA". From Rfam's summary of the family: Transfer RNA (tRNA) molecules are approximately 80 nucleotides in length. Their secondary structure includes four short double-helical elements and three loops (D, anti-codon, and T loops). The record is from RNAcentral. Lineage: Bacteria; Candidatus Uhriibacteriota.